GACGAACGCUGGCGGCGUGCUUAACACAUGCAAGUCGAACGGAAAGGCCCUGCUUGCAGGGUACUCGAGUGGCGAACGGGUGAGUAACACGUGGGUGAUCUGCCCUGCACUUCGGGAUAAGCCUGGGAAACUGUGUCUAAUACCGGAUAGGAGCCAUUCUUAGUGUGAUGGUUGGAAAGGUUUUUUCGGUGUAGGAUGAGCUCGCGGCCUAUCAGCUUGUUGGUGGGGUAAUGGCCUACCAAGGCGGCGACGGGUAGCCGGCCUGGGAGGGUGGACGGCCACAUUGGGACUGAGAUACGGCCCAGACUCCUACGGGAGGCAGCAGUGGGGAAUAUUGCACAAUGGGCGCAAGCCUGAUGCAGCGACGCCGCGGGGGGGAUGACGGCCUUCGGGUUGUAAACUCCUUUCGCUAGGGACGAAGCUUUUUGUGACGGUACCUAGAUAAGAAGCACCGGCUAACUACGUG
RNAcentral lists this ribosomal RNA (466 nucleotides) under uncultured bacterium. RNAcentral describes it as "partial 16S ribosomal RNA". It matches the Rfam family "Bacterial small subunit ribosomal RNA", at positions 28 to 507 of the family's 1533-position model. The record is from RNAcentral.